UGAAGGCUUCAUUCAUACAUGCUACCGUAAUUCAAAGAUAACUUGAGUUACAAAAGUCCAAUUGAUGUGAUUCUUAAUCCAUUGGAAAGAUGAGAAAAGGUACUAAAACUUUCAUGUUUACCACUUUACCCAGUUCAAAUCAGAUCGAGAUGAAAAUCAUGUUGGAAGAUGAUGGAUGAAUGUAUUUCUGCACAAGGCAGCAUGGUGAUUGGAAGCUACGGUUACUCAUGGUCGUGGUGUUGAGGAAGCUAGAGCCUUAGCACUGGGAAAAACAUGGUUGUGGUGGUGGAUGGUUGAGGUGCAUCAUACUUUGGCCCAAGGUCAGAAUGCCACGGUGUGGAACAAGUAUAGUCACGAUGCCACUAAUG
Molecule: long non-coding RNA, 368 nt
Filed under: Theobroma cacao (cacao)
Lineage: Eukaryota; Viridiplantae; Streptophyta; Magnoliopsida; Malvales; Malvaceae
Description: long non-coding RNA (TCAC_LNC005888)
Source: RNAcentral